UACGUAGGGUGCGAGCGUUAAUCGGAAUUACUGGGCGUAAAGCGUGCGCAGGCGGUUUUGUAAGACAGAUGUGAAAUCCCCGGGCUCAACCUGGGAACUGCGUUUGUGACUGCAAGACUUGAGUAUGGCAGAGGGGGGUAGAAUUCCACGUGUAGCAGUGAAAUGCGUAGAGAUGUGGAGGAACACCGAUGGCGAAGGCAGCCCCCUGGGCUAACACUGACGCUCAGGCACGAAAGCGUGGGGAGCAAACAGG
Molecule: ribosomal RNA, 253 nt
Filed under: uncultured bacterium
Lineage: Bacteria
Description: partial 16S ribosomal RNA
Rfam family: Bacterial small subunit ribosomal RNA
Source: RNAcentral